Long non-coding RNA from Leopardus geoffroyi (Geoffroy's cat), 3313 nucleotides. RefSeq lists it as uncharacterized. The record is from RefSeq and is a predicted model, not a curated record. The transcript has 5 exons. NCBI's taxonomy places the organism in Eukaryota, Metazoa, Chordata, Mammalia, Carnivora, Felidae.
UUUCUCCAAAUCGGAUAGUGAAGUGUAAGUCGAGCUUCGCCGCAGGCAACCCUGGGUCUCCGCCUUCAGACUCAGGGUCCCUGAGUGGGGUGCGCUGCCCCGGCGCUGCUAACCCAGGGGACGGGGUGGGAUGGGAUCCCCCCCACACACACACCCACCCAGCCGAGCGCCGUGGGCCCGGCCGUUCCACCAAGUGAGGCCGAGGAGCCCACGCGUGAGGCCCACACCCGUCUCGGGCCGGGGCACUGGUGCGCUCCGAGCACGACGGGUGGCCGGCCUCGCGGCGGGUUCAAGUGCACGCCCGCGGUUGGAGCCAGCGGCUCGGCAAGCGAGUUCUCUCCUGCUCAGCCCCCUCUCCGGAGUUCAGUGUGCCCCGCUGCUCCUGGGACCCCCUCUCCCAGCCCUCCCAGUCGCGAUGAGCCGCCGGCCUGGGGCGCGAACCCGGGCGCGCUCCUCCCCGGGCUCCAGCCCACGGCGCGGGCCCCUCAAGAGCAACGUGGAGGCUCCGCCUGGAAAAGAAGUCCGACUUCCUCUCCGCGCUGCUCUGGUGCGAUCUGGAAUCGGCAGGAAAUGACUCGAACACCCGUCCCGCGCCUUUGCAGUCAGCCCUCGCUUUGCUGAAGGGAAGCAGCUCCCACCAAAGUCUUACCGCCCCCUCCCCCACGAAAGACCCGCGCAGGUCAGAGCCUACGAGAAAAGCCCGGAGCGAUCCACUCACCUGGGUGAGGCCAUAAAGAGUUAAAAUUACCAACCAUGAGAAGGAAAAGUGAUUUUUGGAAAACAUGAAACAUUGGUGAAUUGGAGUCUGACUACUAAAUUUGGGAGUGGAUCUGGACAAAAUGAAAGUUUACAUCUAGCAGCUGAGCAGCUGAGGAUGAGUUCGGCUCAUGUGAACGUGAAUCUCCAGGACACCUGGCCCAGCUGGCCAUGUGGAACGUCACUCAGCACGCCCGAGGGGCUCCCUCGCCGCCCGCGCUCCGCCAGCACAGCCUGCACACCAGCCUUCCUUCUCUCAACACUUGGCUGCCAGCCAUCUGGCCCCCAUGACUGGAGCCUCCCGAGCAAAAGGUACACAAGAAACGGGCUGAAUGCAUACCACGUCUUUUUCAAAACUGGCAAACUGGUCAUGAGAACAGCCUUCCAAGCCUUAAGGCUUGGGUUCAGCUCUCUCGCAACAAAGAAAAACAAAUCUCUGUGUUUGUCCAGAGUCUAGAACACAUCCAAACCCUCUGACUGCCGUAGCACACAGGACAUGGCAUGGAGAACAUAAAUGCACCAAAGAAACAGCACUAUAGAGAAAGCUAUUGGUGCUCAAGAACUACGUGACAAGAAGGAAAUGCGAAAAGACACGAUAUCCGUGAGGGAGGUGUUGAUGCUUCUGUUCUGACCUAAGUAAGGCUCAGACAGGGUUUGUGAGGCAGACAUUAGCUGCGUCUCCACAUAAUGUUAUGCCCUUAGCAUGUGAUUGGAGUUCGGGGGGGUCUUUCUUGCUUUUCUCUGAUCUCCCCCUUUUGUCAUUGUUCAUGAAAGUAGCUGAGCUUCAGGUUGGCCUGAAAUCCCGUGGCACUUAGAGCUCCAUGAUCAAAGUCUGUUGUAGGCAUUUGGGCUGGUGCCAACAAAGUUCAGGUUGUGCUUCAAACAGGGCUUCGGGCACCUCUCAGCCACGGGCGAGGGGCUGACUGGGUUUGAUCUCGAACUGUGCGCAUUUGGGGAGUCUCAGGUCCCUUGUUGAUAAGCCCUGCUUGGCAGAGCUCUGCUUUAAUUAACAUGGCCCUCGGGUUGGUUCGAUUUCCCAUGUUUCAGCACCUCACUGGGUGUAACCUUAUCUUUCCAUUUCGUACGCAUGAUGGAUCUGAAACGGCACAGGUGAAGUUUGUCUUUGACUUGACAGCUGGAUUACUUCCACGUUUCACAACUACAGAAGAAAACUCCCAAAUCCCAGCUCUUCUUAUCAUUUGGCAUUUUAUGGAGCAGCCGCAGUGGCUUUCCAGCUCAACAUGCCCAUCCCUCCCCCACCCUCCAUUAAGUUGUAAAGCAGGGAAAUAUUUUUCUUUUCUUCGUGGCCUUCCAAAGAAUGGACACAGAACCACGAGAGAAAUCGCUGGCCAGAGGAAAGCAAUCCCUUAGAGAAAGCAAUCCAACUAUCAUCACCCUAGAGAGCUGGGCCACCGCCAACAUCUCCAUCAGCAAGUUGGAAGAGUUGUCUGACUUCCCAACACAAUAAAAAUGGAGACAUGAGCAUCCAGAGCCCCAGCCAGCACAAUUACAUGAAGCCAAAGAACAUUAUCACUUCUGGGUUGCAGGAUUUAUGACCAACUGUGAUGGAAAAUAAAGACAGGGAUACUUGCCUGAAUUCAUCAUUCACAAAAGGCAAUACAUUUUAAUCAUAGAGAAGUUGUAUAUAUUAUACUUUUUAAAUGAAAACCCUAGCAAACAGAGCAGAAACAGAUGCCAGCGUCCUAGAGAAAAAAGAAACAUGAAAAAGAUUGCCAGUUUGCUCCUGUUUAGAAGAUACGCAAGUGAUAUCCUUUAUUGUUGAAAAACUUUUAAAUGCACUGAGGCAAGCAUUUCUAUCGUGGUGGUUUCCUGGAUUUGGGAAACUGUUUCUAAGGAGUAGGCUUGUAUUCGGCAUAGUGUCUGCUGAUCUAGGAAUCAAGUAAUGAGGAUAAUAUGCCACUUCGAGGAAGCCUGUGAUUUCCAUGUGCCAUGAAUAUUACUUUCUUGCCAGUGCAUCUGCCCUGAAGUCUCCUGGAACCAUGCUCUUUGCCCAGCAGAGCAUUCUUAGGUAUUAUUACUGUUCUCAAUGAUUGUCUCCACUCUAAGACGUAUACCUACCCUAUGAGUGAAGGCUCAUGGUGUUCCCGGCCCAGGGCUGGCACAUGAUGAAUACUUAGAAAAUAUCGAAGAGCUCUGAUUAAGUUGUGAUUUUAUGUAAUUAAAAUUCUUCACACAGAUGAUCUGUUUUCACUGUUGGCAAUGAAAAGGUAAACCAGUAUGGUUUUAGAGUUCAGCUGUUUAUCAGAACCAAAAUUAGCCUCAGAACCACUGAAAGUUUAAAAAGACUGCUUGAGGAAGGAAGGAAGGGUCUACAUAAUCCUUCAAACACAAGAUUCAUUCUAUCAAUGCUUGGAAUAGCUCCUCGAACCCUAAAAGUGAGUUUGUUUCCAGAACACCUGAAACAGAGACCACAUUUUUAUGAUGUUUGCCUUCCACAGUCAAGUUUACAUUAGGGAGCUGUAUUUUCCUUAUAUUUAUUUUGAAAUCAUUUGAGUUUUCCAAUGAAAUAACAUUCUCAUUUUCUUCCCUCUUCCCA